AAUUAGCCCAGAUGGAAGCGGCAUCCUUUCUUGUCCAGAACUUGUUUCAGGACUCUAAAAUAAGUUCCGGACAAGAAAGAUAUAGCAGACAGCUGGAAAUAGC
Molecule: small RNA, 103 nt
Filed under: Flavobacterium granuli
Lineage: Bacteria; Pseudomonadati; Bacteroidota; Flavobacteriia; Flavobacteriales; Flavobacteriaceae
Description: Flavo-1 RNA
Rfam family: Flavo-1 RNA
Source: RNAcentral